GCCUUCGUGGUGUAAUGGUCAGCACGCUGAGUCGGUAUUUCAGAGGUCCGUGGUUCGAUUCCCGGCGAAGGCG
RNAcentral lists this transfer RNA (73 nucleotides) under Stegodyphus mimosarum. It matches the Rfam family "tRNA". From Rfam's summary of the family: Transfer RNA (tRNA) molecules are approximately 80 nucleotides in length. Their secondary structure includes four short double-helical elements and three loops (D, anti-codon, and T loops). Lineage: Eukaryota; Metazoa; Arthropoda; Arachnida; Araneae; Eresidae. The record is from Rfam by way of RNAcentral.